AACGCAAAUGGCACUCUAUGGUAUUCCGUAGAGUACGUCUGUUUGAGCGUCGCGAACAUCUCCAUAAUUAGUUUUUUUAAUUAGUUGAGGGUUUUGAGGUUGUCAUAUAAACAGUGACUCCCUUUAAAAUAAUUAGUGAUGACCUUAUGAAUGGGUUAAUACUGUGUGUUAUAAUGGAUUAUAUCCAUCACCAGUCAGAGAGUAAUCUCGCCUUAGUAAUUUGUAGUGAUUGCUUCUAACUGCCAAUUGGCAACAACCUGAUCAAAUCGACCUCAAAUCAGAUGGGAUUACCCGCUGAACUUAA
This 304-nucleotide unclassified non-coding RNA is filed under the name uncultured Wallemiales. RNAcentral describes it as "sequence contains 5.8S rRNA gene, ITS2, 28S rRNA gene". The record is from RNAcentral. Lineage: Eukaryota; Fungi; Basidiomycota; Wallemiomycetes.